This 634-nucleotide ribosomal RNA is filed under the name uncultured fungus. Its description in RNAcentral is "eukaryotic LSU rRNA". It matches the Rfam family "Eukaryotic large subunit ribosomal RNA", at positions 24 to 664 of the family's 3401-position model. The record is from RNAcentral. Lineage: Eukaryota; Fungi.
CCCGCUGAACUUAAGCAUAUCAGUAAGCGGAGGAAAAGAAACUAACAAGGAUUCCCCUAGUAGCGGCGAGCGAAGCGGGAACAGCUCAAAUUUAAAAUCUGGCAUCCGAAUGGGUGUCCGAAUUGUAAUUGAGAGGGUCACCUUUUGGCGACCCGGGAUGGUCAAAGUUCUCUGGAAAGGGACAACAAAGAGGGUGACAUUCCCGUCUGGAUCAUCUCGGGCAGCCAGGAUAAAGGCGGCUCCAAGAGUCGGAUUGUUUGGGAAUGCAGUCCAAAAUGGGUGGUACAUUUCAUCUAAAGCUAAAUAUUGGCAAGAGACCGAUAGCGAACAAGUACCGUGAGGGAAAGAUGAAAAGAACUUUGAAAAGAGAGUUAAAUAGUACGUGAAAUUGUUAAAAGGGAAACGAUUGAGACCAGUGAUGUCCCAGUCCUUGAGCUUGCCCUUUGGGGCCUGUGUCUGGGCUGGGACAAGUCGACGCUCCUUUUGGAGGGUGGAUAAGACUGGCGGAAAGGUGGCUCCACCUUCGGGUGGCUGCUUUAUAGUCCGCCGGGGAUACACCGCCUGGGAGGAGAACGGUAGGGCCGCAAGGCUCACGUCGACGAAAUGGUCUUAAACGACCCGUCUUGAAACACGG